AGUCGUAUGCUCGUCUCCGAGACUAAGCCAUGCAAGUCCAAGUACACGUCCUUGAACGACGGAAACUGCGAACGGCUCAUUAAAAUCAGUUGCGAUCUACUCGGCGUUCCGCGCCGCCGGAUAACCGUAGUAAUUCUAGGGCUAAUACGUGCGAAGCGCCCGAAGCCGCGAGGCGACGGGCGUUCUCGCCGGAUGUAGGAACCGACCCCGGGGACCGCCGGGGCAACCCCGGCGCCCCCGAGACGGGGCGAACCACGGUGAAAUGACGGAUCGUCGGCCCCGCGCCGGCGACUCGCCGAAUGAGUUUCUGACCUAUCAACUCGAGACGGCGGGGUAGAGGCCCGCCGCGGUAACGACGGUAACGGGGGAAUCAGGGUUCGAUUCCGGAGAGGGAGCCCGAGAAACGGCUACCACUUCCAAGGAAGGCAG
Molecule: ribosomal RNA, 429 nt
Filed under: uncultured eukaryote
Lineage: Eukaryota
Description: bacterial SSU rRNA
Rfam family: Eukaryotic small subunit ribosomal RNA
Source: RNAcentral